Molecule: ribosomal RNA, 484 nt
Filed under: uncultured bacterium
Lineage: Bacteria
Description: partial 16S ribosomal RNA
Rfam family: Bacterial small subunit ribosomal RNA
Source: RNAcentral
AUUGAACGCUGGCGGCAGGCCUAACACAUGCAAGUCGAGCGGAUGAAGGGAGCUUGCUCCUGGAUUCAGCGGCGGACGGGUGAGUAAUGCCUAGGAAUCUGCCUGGUAGUGGGGGAUAACGACCGGAAACGGGCGCUAAUACCGCAUACGUCCUGAGGGAGAAAGUGGGGGAUCUUCGGACCUCACGCUAUCAGAUGAGCCUAGGUCGGAUUAGCUAGUUGGUGGGGUAAAGGCCUACCAAGGCGACGAUCCGUAACUGGUCUGAGAGGAUGAUCAGUCACACUGGAACUGAGACACAGUCCAGACUCCUACGGGAGGCAGCAGUGGGGAAUAUUGGACAAUGGGCGAAAGCCUGAUCCAGCCAUGCCGCGUGUGUGAAGAAGGUCUUCGGAUUGUAAAGCACUUUAAGUUGGGAGGAAGGGCAGUAAGUUAAUACCUUGCUGUUUUGACGUUACCAACAGAAUAAGCACCGGCUAACUUCGUG